GUUUUAGAGUUGAGAGGUUUGAACUCGGCUACCAUUAUUUUUUGGGUUUGAGGGGUUUAUCCUCUAAAAUAUAGAGCUCUGAAAUGGCGAUGGGUCUCCUUCAGUCCGGCUGCUCAGUUUCCUUCGCACGGGCUUUACGGUCUCGCACUUUUACAACCAUCUCCAGCACGGUCACAGUACCCUCACUCAAGAAGGCUUCUCAAAUGGAGACGCGCUUCCUCCUUGGCUUGUCUGAGGAACAACUUCAGCAACUUUCCCUCGACUUUGGUCAGAAAAGUUUUAGAGGUAAACAACUAUAUCAUCUCCUCUACAAGAGAAAAGUCAAGGAAAUUCAGGAAUUUAGCCAGCUGCCAUUGGA
This 358-nucleotide unclassified non-coding RNA is filed under the name Hevea brasiliensis (rubber tree). The record is from RNAcentral. Lineage: Eukaryota; Viridiplantae; Streptophyta; Magnoliopsida; Malpighiales; Euphorbiaceae.